AUCCAUUUGACGAAUCCCAAAUAGGACGAAACUCGUGUCUUAGAU
Molecule: non-coding RNA, 45 nt
Filed under: Schistosoma margrebowiei
Lineage: Eukaryota; Metazoa; Platyhelminthes; Trematoda; Strigeidida; Schistosomatidae
Source: RNAcentral